This 67-nucleotide transfer RNA is filed under the name Marmota monax (woodchuck). Its description in RNAcentral is "tRNA.Ala". The record is from RNAcentral. Lineage: Eukaryota; Metazoa; Chordata; Mammalia; Rodentia; Sciuridae.
GGUCGUGGCUCAGUAGUAGAGCACUUGCCUAGCACAUGUGAGGCCCUGGGUUCGAUCCUCAACACCA